AUGCAACGGUUCGAUCUUGUGAAGGCCCUCGAAAACGCACAACAUGCCAAGGCCGAAGCCCAAAAGGCCCUCCAGGAGAUUCAGGCGGUUAAGAAGAUAGCGGCGGGAGCGUUCGUAGAUCUACCCCGCAAUGUGUCGGAUCCCGCGGAGUUCUACCGGGCCGAGGAGGGGAGCUCGACGAAGAAGUUGUUCUGGUCUCAGUAUACUGGGACCGAACAUCCGAUGCCCUUGAGUGACCAGUUGAAGCAACUGGUCGAGCUUCACAAGGCGGCCGAACAGGCCAUGAAGGGUCUUAUAGUCCGGAUGUGGCCUGGCGAGCCCCUGCCUGGUAGCUACUUCGGUCUGGUAAGGCGGCUUGUGAAUGCCUGCCCACAGUUUGAAGUCCCACAGUUUGAAGUCAUAAAGCGAUCCGUCUGCAUUGAGGGUGCGCGCAGGGCCUUUGCCCGGGCGAAAGUGCACUAG
This 462-nucleotide ribosomal RNA is filed under the name Triticum aestivum (bread wheat). Its description in RNAcentral is "partial small subunit ribosomal RNA". The record is from RNAcentral. Lineage: Eukaryota; Viridiplantae; Streptophyta; Magnoliopsida; Poales; Poaceae.